UGGUGUCCAACAAGAGCUGAACUGUAUC
This 28-nucleotide non-coding RNA is filed under the name Homo sapiens (human). The record is from RNAcentral. Lineage: Eukaryota; Metazoa; Chordata; Mammalia; Primates; Hominidae.